RNAcentral lists this ribosomal RNA (441 nucleotides) under uncultured bacterium. RNAcentral's name for it is "partial 16S ribosomal RNA". It matches the Rfam family "Bacterial small subunit ribosomal RNA", at positions 338 to 795 of the family's 1533-position model. The record is from RNAcentral.
CCUACGGGGGGCAGCAGUGGGGGAUAUUGCACAAUGGGGGGAACCCUGAUGCAGCGACGCCGCGUGGGUGAAGGAGUAUUUCGGUAUGUAAAGCCCUAUCGGCAGGGAAGAAAUUGGACGGUACCUGACUAAGAAGCCCCGGCUAACUACGUGCCAGCAGCCGCGGUAAUACGGAGGGGGCAAGCGUUAUCCGGAUUCACUGGGGGUAAAGGGAGCGUAGACGGCCAUGCAAGCCAGGGGUGAAAGCCCGGGGCCCAACCCCGGGACUGCCCUUGGAACUGCAUGGCUGGAGUGCGGGAGGGGCAGGCGGAAUUCCUGGUGUAGCGGUGAAAUGCGUAGAUAUCGGGAGGAACCCCGGCGGCGAAGGCGGCCUGCUGGACCGCGACUGACGUUGAGGCUCGAAAGCGUGGGGAGCGAACAGGAUUAGAUACCCCAGUAGUC